UGUGACCUGGCAGAGGCCCCAGGUUUUAUAGGCUGGGGCCACCCUGGCCUGGGCUAGUUUCCCAACUCCCCAGGGCUCACCCACUUCCUACGCGCCUGGGGCUCACAGCAGGAGUUAUGAAAUUAGGUCAAAGGAUGUGUCCUUCCAGCCAGGUCCCAACUGGAAAGCAAGCUGCCCACCUGACGGGGCUCCCUUCCCUUACAAGGACACCCUGUUCCCAGAGAACUCCCAGGGUCCCCUCUGCUGGAAGGGCUUGUGGGCAGCUCCAGACCGCUCCACGGUUUGUGCAGGGAGAGGAGCAGGCCGCUCUCAUGGCCAGAGCUACUCGACACGCUGGGAUGGAGCCAGACUCCAGCAGGAGCCAACUCAGGGCUCAGCGUGUCCCCAGGCUUCCUGUGUUGGGAUGCAUCAGAAGGGACACCUGAGUCCACCGUGCAGUUCAGAGGACGUGAUUGAAUGAAGCAGUUCAUGAGGAGGAGAAGCAACGCAUCCCACGACCGUGGGGGACAGAUGGGAAGCAGAUCCGCAGGUGCUAUGGGGACUGUCUGGGAUGUGGCAAAGCAGCCACCCUCCGAGGAGGCUUGUGGCCACCUCCUGAGGAGACAGCCCAUCCCGGGAGGCUGGGAGAGGUGGACAGAGCUGCCCUCCUCAGAAGACACGACUGACCCGUAGGCGGUUCCAGGGCUUCCAGGAAUCAGCUGUCAGGAUGAGCGGUUCACAAAACCCAGAGGUGCUUCUGAAACAAGUCACAAGGAAUCAAAAAGGAGCAGUUGUAAACCUGCAGCACAGCCCUGAAGGCAAAGAGCUGAGGCUGGAACUAGGGCGCCCUCCAUCCUCUGUGCAGGAAGCUUUCAAACAGGGACCAGGAGACCUAAGACCGGACACAGGAAGUCCAGCCCACAAUCACGGGCAGUCCACGUGGCCCGGUGCUGAUGACCUGAAGAUUCACUGCAUUAUCGGUUAAAUCCCCACUUUCUGGUGAUGCUGGACAAGAAGAAUUUAGCACAUACGCGAAGGCAAGAUGGCCUUGCUCAGGAGCAAGGGGCAGACGGCUCCACUCAGUGCAGAGCUCGCUACAGAUCUGCAGGGAUGGGACCACGGCCCUGGCACAGGCACACGCAGGCCCACGGAGCCCAGCAAGGGGCCCAGAAACAAGUCCAGGCGUGUUCUGACCUUUGGCUUAACAACAGCAGUGGCUGUGCCGAGAAAUGGGGAAAGAAUUAACUUUAACACAUUCCAGGAACGAAGGGACCUUCCUAUGAGAAAACGAGAAGUCAAGAAGUCAACUUGACUUUCAUCAUACAAAAAAACAAAACAAGAGGAAAAAAAAAUCGAUGUUGGGGGAAUUACAAACCCCAAUGUGGAGGUAGAAACAGGAGCUUUAGAUCAAAUUAUAAGCUAUCAAAUAACUUCACAGGUAUUUUAUUCAGGACAGAAAAUCACUAACCACAAAGGGAAAGUUUAAAAACUGACACAAAGAUUAAGGACGUUUGUUUUUCAAAACACACCACCAAGAGAGUGGAAAGACAAGCCACAGGGGACAGAGAUAUUUCAACACAGGCGUGUGACAAAUGACUUGUAUCUGGAAUAAAGAUCCCUGUAAAUCAGCCCUCUGCCGAGCAGAGAUGGGCAAACAGGCCCCGGUGGACUCCAGCAGGCAGGAGGUGGCAGGGGGCGGAAAAAAGGGCUCCUGCCCAACUUCACAUGUGACCAAAGUCACUGAAGUCACGGGAGCACACCACCCACACCACCUGCUCCACCAAGGGCAGGUGUGUCCAGGACAGCGCCGUGCACGGUUCUGGUGGGGAUCAGAGGAAACUGGGGCUCCUGUGCUGGGCCGAGGACGCACGCUGGCCCAGGCAUGUUGGAAGACCAUCGGCGUCCCUUCCUACGUGGUCUCCUGUGACUCUGCUCAGCAGAACAGUGCCAGCCACAGAGCAGACACAGCGAGAAGGCCCAGCCCGUGAUGGAGAUGACCAGGAUGUCCAUCGGCUGCAGAACGGGCCCAGCCCGAGGCCAGUCCAUUCCCAGGACUCCCCUUCACCAGUAAAAUCCACCAAUCCUAGCUUCCUGCAGAAGCUCCGUGGGAAUUCACAAACGGAGGUUGAAGGAGACAAGACUGAGUGAAGAAUGCCGACUAUAUAACUGUGUCUGUGUGACGUUCAGAGGGUGCAGGCCUGGAAGGGCUGCGGGGCUCGCCCGGCUGCACCCUUAGUUCCUGGUGUCCUCGGUGACCGGACGUCGCGUUUCACUUAAAACAACAACAACAAAACACAGACAAGAAACUAACAAUAAAAGGGAGUGUCAGUAAGAUGGAUGUCCCCCGGCCCUGCGACCGCCUACAGUGGGCGUGGACAGCCUGGGAGGGUAGGCCUUGCCGUCCUGCCGCUUUUCUUGCUGUCAUAAGCCAGCCAGGUCACCAACAGACCAGAUACGUCUCUGUCCCUCCACUGCGUCAGAACUUACUGAAUGAGUUAAUCCUCAGGUGACACCACUCUCAUCAGUGGCAGUGCAGUGGAUACGUGUGGGUCCCUGGUGUCAGGCUGGGCAGUCACAGGGUCACUCAGUCUUGAUUUCUACAUCUGUCAGGCUCAAGUCACACAACACACUCUACACAACUAUAUGUACAGGCUACCGAGAGGCUGAACCGUGCGGCGGCCUCAGGCUUCAGGAGGCAGAUAGCAGGUACAGAUAGGGUCACCACAGGUGGUCGGAUGAGAUUAGAAACCACCGAGGACCUGUGCAGGGCGCAGGGCCAUGGGAGCACAGGAACCUAUUCUAGGCCAAGGUCCAGAGAGUGCCAGUCUCAGGUCAGCUUGGAGUGUCAGCCUGAGGUGUCAGCUUGGAGUGGGACUUGCAUGGUCGUCACUGGCAGGAGAAACUGCUUUGCUGAAGCCCCUGACAGAGAACUGAAGGUUCAUUGCUGUGGUGACAUUCCUGGGUGAGGCUGUGAUGAGUGACCAGGUGACAGGGUCAGCAUGCUGCUGUGUCCAGGCUCAGGUGCCCCUCCUUCUGUGGGUCUCGAGUGAGGGGCUGCAUCCUGAGGUGGUUCCACUAGCUCCUGGGCCUGAUUUUUCCAAUAUGAGUUUGAUACACCCACACAUUCAUGUGCUUCUGACUAAUCUGUAAGUCACAGGUGGUCACUUUUACGAGCAUGAUCAAUUUAUUUAUCAGCAUGUGCCUUAUGGUGGUGCCAGGCAGAUGGUGGCUGUUGAUUUGCACAAACAAGGUACAGAGUUCUUGCUCUGAUUAGAGCAGCUCAGGGCAAACUGGGGCUUUAUGAAAUGGGGUGACUCAGGGUUAGGCUGAAAUCAGCUGUUCUGUCCACCGUGGAGUCACAAAGGGAAGGGCACAGCCUGAGAGCUGCUGUUCUAAACACCAUGGAGUCACCCAGGGCAGGCUCAGCCUGAAGACAGCUGUUGUACACACCAUAGAGUCACUCAGGGCAGGCGCAGCCUGAGGAUUGCUGUUCUGUACACCAUGGAGUCACCCAGGGCAGGCUCAGCCUGAAGACAGCUGUUGUACACACCAUAGAGUCACUAGGGCAGGCACAGCCUGAGGACUGCUGUUCUACACACCAUGGAGUCACUAGAGCAGGCACAGCCUGAGGACUGCUGUUCUGUACACCAUGGAGUCACUAGAGCAGGCACAGCCUGAGGACUGCUGUUCUACACACCAUGGAGUCACUCAGGGCAAGCGCAUUCUGAGAGCUGCUGUUUUGCACACCAUGGAGUCACUAGGGCAGGCUCAGCCUGAGGACUGCUGUUUUGCACACCAUGGAGUCACUAGGGCAGGCGCAGCCUGAGAACUGCUGUUCUACACACCAUGGAGUCACCAGGGCAGGCUGAUCUGUACACCAUGGAGCCAUGCAGAGUUGGAAACAGCCUAGAAACUGCUGUUGGAUGCCUCAUGGAGUCACUCAGAGAACACAGCCAUUCUCCACACGUUCUCUGACUUCUAGGAGGCUGACCACUGACCACUGCUUUCUCUGGCUCCAUGUGCUAGAUCUGCAGCCUGAGAUGAACCUCAGAAGUGUGGUGGACAGAGGAAGUGGUCCUUCAUCUUGGGCUGUGCCCACACGCCCAGGCCACCCACAGUUGGUGGGACUGAAACUCCAUGCUGUAAGGGGGACUCUCUGUUAUUCAGUGAGGUCGUGCUGUGGUCACAUGAAAUAGUGGAGCCUGGUGUCCCCGGCCACAGGAAAAGUGCUCUGUCUGGAAGACAGGGGGUGGCAGGUGGCCGUGUGGAUCCUGGGAGGCCUCUGGCUGCACCCUCCUCCUGUGCUCACAAUCAGGCCACCAGUGGGGCAGACCCUCUCCUGGACCUGGUCAUCUUUGGGCCUGGGCUGCUCCUCCAGGCCUCUGGGACGCUACACCUUGAGAAUGUGCCCUGUGGGACCCCCUCCUCUCUGGGGCCUGUGUGCAUGCCCUGGCCUGGGCUGUCUGGAGGGCUGUGGGAAGGGGAGGCUCACGUGGCUGGACCUGGCUGGGGUUCUGCACACUGGUCCCCUAGGACGCCUUUGAUGACUGUGUGACAUUCUUACCUGGAACCCUUCUGCUGCCAAGUCCAGCCCAAGAGAGCAGAGUCCACCGAGUUUCCUCUCCCCCAAUUUGUAGAUGUUUUCUCUUUGGGGGAGAAGAAAUCAGGACUUACUCUUGAUGAUGCUGGGUGUCUCCACACCAUGGGGCCCUUCUCCCCAACCGCGGGUCACCCCCCAUCCUGCUUGGGGUUUCACUGGCCCUCCUCCAACCUGGGCUCACAGGUGGCCUACUACCUCCUUCUCUCUCCCCAGAGGCCUGUGCUGCGCUGGUUCUGGGUGGGGGGUCCCACCAUCCCGAGCCUCUGGGGAACCUCAUGUCACAUGCUUGCAGGAGCCUGGCCCCAUUCCCACCCAAGAUUAUUCCUGGACCAGUCCUGGGGAGAGAGGCCUGAGGAUCCCUCCUCCUGGCCACGUCCACUUUGUCCAGAGAGGCAACAUGGAACAGCGGGUGCUCAGGGGGGCGGGGGACAAGAGAUGGCACUGCCACUAGGGAAGGCAGCCUGGCAGCUGUGGGGACAGCUAGCAUUCCACGUCCCAGGGGAGGCCACGGGAAGUGAGGCCCCUGGGCACACACCCACUCUCGUCAUGGAUAAUUCUCCAGACCCAAAGCAGGAGCAGCCUGCAGGCCCAUCCCUGGUGAAUGAGCAGGACACUAGCAGGUGGGCUAUCACCUGGCAGGGGGACCUUCAACCCAUGAGAUGAGCCAAGCCACAGGUGGUGGGGCCGUUCCCACCAAUGUCCACAACAGGCAGAUUCACAGAGAAAGCAGACCAGGCCUGGCCAGGGCAAGGGGGAGGGGAAAGGGUCCAGCAAUGACAGGCCAAGGGUCUGGAUGGGUUUCGAGGUCAGGACUGUGUUCUAGGCCUGGAAUGUUCUGGUGGCUUCACAACUCAGAGAGUCCACCAAACACCACUAACUUGUCCACCAAACACCGCUAACUUGUCCACUUCCAGAGGGUGAAUUUUAUGGUCUGCAAGUUACAUCUCAAUAAAGCUGUUAAAGAAAAAGGAUUCCAGGGGGAUUAUGAGGGGUGGGCUUCCCUGACUCCUGGGAUCCAGCCCAGGGCCCCUGGACACUGGGCAGGGGGCUUGAAGGAAGCAUCAUGGGGCCCGAGAGAGUCCACUCCUGCCGGAGGCCUGGCCUCUGCCUCCCACCCUCCUUCCCUUCCUGCCUCCCCUCAUGUCUCCUGGGUCUUGAACCUCCUCCUUGCCAGGACCCCACAGCGGGUAGUGGCGAUGACAUUAAAAAGCCCCUUCCCAGCUACAAAAUACUCCAAAGUGCUUAGCGGCCCUUGGGAGCAGCAGAGGGUGAGAGCCAGGACCUCAGGCGCAUUAGCCACAGGAAGGAAAAGUCCCUCUUGAAGCUUCCCCGGGGUCAGCCAGGGCCACAGGACAGAAACCCCCAGGGCUCUGGCAGGAAGCUUCCUCCUGCCGAGGCCCCUUUUAACUUCCCAGAGAUAAUGCAGUGCAGAGUACCUGCCAGGCACCUGAAGACAGAUGACCAGUGUUUGCCGGGAAAUAGUUUGUGUCAGAGCAAAUUGGAAUUUAUAUCUCAGGAGGCAGGUAAUCCCCUUUAGAGUGCUCCAGCGUCCCCAGGACGAGCGGGCUUGCGCAGGGCUGGCGGCUCGCUGAAGACAGACAAAGCCGUGCGCCUCCGAAGACCCCUGCUCGCCCAGUCCUACUCUGGAUAUCUUAAUUGAGUCUGCAAACCCUAGGACACCACGGAGAAAACAAGCCUCACGAUGUCCUCUUCCAGCUCCGCACAGGAUCAAGGUCGUGUUCACCUUCGGGAAACUCAAGAAACAAAGCAGGGAAGGAGUUGUCUUCCUGGGGGUUAGUUUUGUGUUAUGCUUGUUCUUGUUUAGUUUUGUGUAUAUUUUUAAAGCUUGUGAACAGAGGAGAAAAAUCCAGGGGCAUGUUCCCACUAAGUUAAACUAGUUGUUCUUAAAAUCCCAAAUCCUUCUACAGCUUUUUAUUCCCAAGGACCAGUACACAAUCUGCUUUGCUCUUGAUUUAAACAUGCUGACAAGCGGCUGCCGGCUCGCCUGCGCGGCGCGAGAGUGGAUUGGGGCUGUCAUAUAUAAUGCAUGAGACGGGGAGCCGCGGAUGCGGGGAGCGGGGACGGGAUCUGCACAGGACUCGAGGUGAUCUGCGUGCAGCUCUGUGCCCAGAGUCACUGUGCAAACAUAUUUACCCUGCAUAAAAGAAAGGGAUGAGUCUGCGCAGGACGAUUGUCCACCGGAGUGGAUUUAAUUUCUAAACCUGCAUUAGAGCAGGAUUAACCUUGCUGAAGGGUACCGUGACGUGGGCAGAAUGUAUAAAGCUAACCCCGGGUCCGCACAGCCAGAGGAGGAGCACUGGAUGGAAUUAAACAUUUAUUGCACAUAAA
Molecule: long non-coding RNA, 6928 nt
Organism: Marmota monax (woodchuck)
Lineage: Eukaryota; Metazoa; Chordata; Mammalia; Rodentia; Sciuridae
Exons: 2
Source: RefSeq, a predicted model, not a curated record